CCCACGUGGACGCCGAUAACCGCGAGAGGCAGUGUUGGCCCUUGCCAGACCUACACUAUCACACCUGGCGUGCAGCAUAAAAGGAGAUUGAGGAGUCUCUGCGCCUCCCCGUCAGUAAUGUUGAUCCCUAGCCGCCGGAAGGAUGACUUCAGCUCCCUCUCGUCCACGCGUCCUGCACACGAAAACAUAGGCCUUUAGUUAUCUGUUCCGGGAUGGCGUCCCAAGAAGCUGAGAAACGAACGCUUCCUCCACCGGCCAGGAUUAGCCACUGGGAAACGCUAAGUGUCAUUUACUACUACGAAUAAAGCUCAGUUUAUAACA
Molecule: long non-coding RNA, 321 nt
Organism: Penaeus monodon (black tiger shrimp)
Lineage: Eukaryota; Metazoa; Arthropoda; Malacostraca; Decapoda; Penaeidae
Exons: 2
Source: RefSeq, a predicted model, not a curated record